Molecule: transfer RNA, 69 nt
Filed under: Limnius volckmari
Lineage: Eukaryota; Metazoa; Arthropoda; Insecta; Coleoptera; Elmidae
Description: tRNA-Asp
Source: RNAcentral
AAAGAGGUAGUUAAAUUAUAACUUUAGUAUGUCAUGCUAACAUUAUUAGUUUCAUUCUAAUCCCCUUUG